GAUGAACGCUGGCGGCGUGCCUAACACAUGCAAGUCGAACGAAGCACCUUACCUGAUUCUUCGGAUGAAAGUUUGGUGACUGAGUGGCGGACGGGUGAGUAACGCGUGGGUAACCUGCCCUGUACAGGGGGAUAACAGCUGGAAACGGCUGCUAAUACCGCAUAAGCGCACGAGGAGACAUCUCCUUGUGUGAAAAACUCCGGUGGUACAGGAUGGGCCCGCGUCUGAUUAGCUGGUUGGCAGGGUAACGGCCUACCAAGGCAACGAUCAGUAGCCGGUAUGAGAGGAUGAACGGCCACAUUGGAACUGAGACACGGUCCAAACUCCUACGGGAGGCAGCAGUGGGGAAUAUUGCACAAUGGGGGAAACCCUGAUGCAGCAACGCCGCGUGAGUGAAAAAGUAUUUCGGUAUGUAAAGCUCUAUCAGCAGGGAAGAUAAUGACGGUACCUGACUAAGAAGCUCCGGCUAAAUACGUG
RNAcentral lists this ribosomal RNA (477 nucleotides) under uncultured bacterium. RNAcentral describes it as "partial 16S ribosomal RNA". It matches the Rfam family "Bacterial small subunit ribosomal RNA", at positions 28 to 507 of the family's 1533-position model. The record is from RNAcentral.